RNAcentral lists this ribosomal RNA (423 nucleotides) under uncultured bacterium. RNAcentral's name for it is "bacterial SSU rRNA". It matches the Rfam family "Bacterial small subunit ribosomal RNA", at positions 207 to 622 of the family's 1533-position model. The record is from RNAcentral.
AAGACCUUGCGCUUUUGGAGCAGCCGAUGCCUGAUUAGCUAGUUGGUGGGGUAAUGGCCUACCAAAGCUUCGAUCAGUAGCUGGUCUGAGAGGACGGCCAGCCACACUGGGACUGAGACACGGCCCAGACUCCUACGGGAGGCAGCAGUGGGGAAUUUUGGACAAUGGGCGCAAGCCUGAUCCAGCCAUGCCGCGUGAGUGAAGAAGGCCUUCGGGUUGUAAAGCUCUUUCAGCCGGGAAGAAAAGGUUGCGAUUAAUAAUCGCAAUUUAUGACGGUACCGGAAGAAGAAGCACCGGCUAACUACGUGCCAGCAGCCGCGGUAAUACGUAGGGUGCGAGCGUUAAUCGGAAUUACUGGGCGUAAAGGGUGCGCAGGCGGUUUUGUAAGUCAGAUGUGAAAUCCCCGGGCUUAACCUGGGAACU